RNAcentral lists this ribosomal RNA (207 nucleotides) under uncultured bacterium. RNAcentral describes it as "partial 16S ribosomal RNA". It matches the Rfam family "Bacterial small subunit ribosomal RNA", at positions 568 to 774 of the family's 1533-position model. The record is from RNAcentral.
CGCGUAGGCGGGCUGUUAAGUCGGGGGUGAAAUCCCGGGGCUCAACCCCGGAACUGCCUUCGAUACUGGCAGCCUAGAGGUCGAGAGAGGUGAGUGGAAUUCCGAGUGUAGAGGUGAAAUUCGUAGAUAUUCGGAGGAACACCAGUGGCGAAGGCGGCUCACUGGCUCGAUACUGACGCUGAGGUGCGAAAGCGUGGGGAGCAAACA